UAGCUAGUUGGUGGGGUAAGGGCCUACCAAGGCGACGAUCGGUAGCUGGUCUGAGAGGAUGACCAGCCACACUGGAACUGAGACACGGUCCAGACUCCUACGGGAGGCAGCAGUGGGGAAUAUUGGACAAUGGGGGCAACCCUGAUCCAGCAAUGCCGCGUGUGUGAAGAAGGCCUGAGGGUUGUAAAGCACUUUCAGUGGGGAGGAGUGUUGAUGGGUUAAGAGCUAAUUAACUGGACGUUACCCACAGAAGAAGCACCGGCUAACUCCGUGCCAGCAGCCGCGGUAAUACGGAGGGUGCGAGCGUUGAUCGGAAUUACUGGGCGUAAAGAGUGCGUAGGUGGUUGAAUAAGUUAUCUGUGAAAUCCCUGGGCUUAACCUGGGCAGGUCAGAUGAUACUGUUUAACUCGAGUAUGGGAGAGGGUAGUGGAAUUUCCGGUGUAGCGGUGAAAUGCGUAGAGAUCGGAAGGAACACCAGUGGCGAAGGCGGCUACCUGGCCUAAUACUGACACUGAGGCACGAAAGCGUGGGGAGCAAACAGGAUUAGAUACCCUGGUAGUCCACGCUGUAAACGAUGUCAACUAGCUGUUGGUUAUAUAAAAAUAAUUAGUGGCGC
RNAcentral lists this ribosomal RNA (616 nucleotides) under uncultured Legionella sp. RNAcentral describes it as "bacterial SSU rRNA". It matches the Rfam family "Bacterial small subunit ribosomal RNA", at positions 242 to 849 of the family's 1533-position model. Lineage: Bacteria; Pseudomonadati; Pseudomonadota; Gammaproteobacteria; Legionellales; Legionellaceae. The record is from RNAcentral.